This 519-nucleotide ribosomal RNA is filed under the name uncultured eukaryote. RNAcentral's name for it is "SSU rRNA". It matches the Rfam family "Eukaryotic small subunit ribosomal RNA", at positions 1161 to 1698 of the family's 1831-position model. The record is from RNAcentral.
AGGGCACCACCAGGAGUGGAGCCUGCGGCUUAAUUUGACUCAACACGGGAAAACUCACCCGGCCCGGACACUGGAAGGAUUGACAGAUUGAGAGCUCUUUCUUGAUUCAGUGGGCGGUGGUGCAUGGCCGUUCUUAGUUGGUGGAGUGAUUUGUCUGGUUAAUUCCGAUAACGAACGAGACUCUAGCCUAUUAAAUAGAUCGUUGGCUUACAAACGCCGGCGAGACUUCUUAGAGGGACAGGCGGCGAUUCAGCCGCACGAAACAGAGCAAUAACAGGUCUGUGAUGCCCUUAGAUGUCCGGGGCCGCACGCGCGCUACACUGAAGUGAUCAGCGUGCAUUUUGAAACCUACUCUGUCAAGAGUGGGGAACCCAAUGAACCUUCUUCGUGAUUGGGAUAGAGGAUUGUAAUUAUUCCCCUUGAACGAGGAAUUCCCAGUAAGCGCGAAUCAUAAGUUUGCGCUGAUUACGUCCCUGCCCUUUGUACACACCGCCCGUCGCUACUACCGAUUGAAUGUUU